Molecule: long non-coding RNA, 3311 nt
Organism: Oncorhynchus keta (chum salmon)
Lineage: Eukaryota; Metazoa; Chordata; Actinopteri; Salmoniformes; Salmonidae
Exons: 6
Source: RefSeq, a predicted model, not a curated record
AUAAACACUGUACCCAAAUCCACGUUUUACAAUGCUCCUGGGAAAUGGGUAGGCCUCCACCUAUAGUCCUUCACAGUUUUACAGGUGUGAUAUAUUUAUUUAUUUACAUAGAUCACAUACAUAAAUAAAUAUGUUAGCUGUAGGUAGCGUUGAGAUCAAAUUCCCAUAUUCUAUUGCUACUAAACAUAUAUCAUGUUUUCCUCAUUUGCUCUGUAGGAGGUUCGUCAUAUGAAGGACAUUCAAGUGGAUGUGACCCCGAACCUGCAAUAGGGGCUCAGUGAGGUGACAGACAUCCUGUAAUGGAUCUCCAGCUAGUGUCUGAGGACCUGGAGAAGGCUGUGUCUACAGCUGUGGGGCAGGACAAGUAUGGUAUAGCAGGUAACCAACCCCACCCGGGUCUUACCCCCUAGGACUUACCCUUUGCUACCGGCUACCACCGGUCGUAAUACAAUGGGACUACUGAAUAAGCUCAGGCUUUCUAGAUUCGAAUUGACACAACCCGUACAAUUGGUGACACCGAACGUGAUCUGGUGAAGGACUUCGCUGGACAUUGGUGUGCCAGCCGAUUGGCCAGUACUGUCGUCGGACGCUGUCGUCGGACGGUGUGUCUCACAAAUCCUGACCGGUCAACUAAAAAAGGUGCUGCCAAAACCACAGAGGUCCCAGACGAACUUGAGCCAGACACACUCCUCUUCCACCCCUGGACCGAGCCUGCCACCCACCACCACUGUGUCAAAUCCCAUUCAGGUGCAGGUCUAAACCAAACUAGUGGUCUGGCUGAUGUGUGGUGGAUAUGUGGACCCAAAAGAGUACUGAGACCCAUUCUUAGAGGAGACUGGCAAGGACCUGAGCCCUAGGACCAUGCCCCAGGACUACCUGACAUGAUGACUCCUUGCUGUCCCCAGUCCACCUGGCCGUGCUGCUGCUCCAGUUUCAACUGUUCUGCCUUAUUAUUAUUGACCAUGCUGGUCAUUUAUGAACAUUUGAACAUUUUGACCAUGUUCUGUUAUAAUCUCCACCCGGCACAGCCAGAAGAGGACUGGCCACCCCACAUAGCCUGGUUCCUCUCCAGGUUUCUUCCUAGGUUUUGGGCUUUCUAGGGAGUUUUUCCUAGCCACCGUGCUUCUACACCUGCAUUGCUUGCUGUUUGGGGUUUUAGGCUGGGUUUCUGUACAGCACUUUGAGAUAUCAGCUGAUGUACGAAGGGCUAUAUAAAUACAUUUGAUUUGAUUUGAUUUUACAUACACAAUAAUCUGUUGGGUGUGCCGGUGGGGGUUCCUCAUGAGUUUCAGGCCUUGGGUAGGAAUGAUGGACUCUGGCACUUACUACCUAUUAUAGGUCCAGCCAUAGUGGAUGCAAGACAGACUGCAUGGAUAAAUUAUAUCUACUAUAAUCAACAGCGUUUUGUGAAUUACUCCCGUGAUGCACUCACUGGUAUGUCUGAACAGCUGGAGGCCACAUCUAGGGUUGCCAGACAGAAUAGACUUGCUUUGGAUAUGCUUCUUGCCAGUCAGAGGGGUGUCUGUAAGAUGUUUGGUGAACAAUGUUGCACGUUUAUUCCUAAUAACACCAGUCCAGAUGGUAGUAUAUCUAAGGCCCUUAGUGGGCUUGAUGCACUAUCUGCUGAGAUGAGGACCAUGGCGGGGGUGGAGGAGUCUGGACUGUUCUCUUGGUUGGGAGCCUGGUUUGGUAAGUACACUGAUAUGGUGGUUACUGGAUUUCUGACCCUAAUUCUUGUAUUUUUAUUAUUGAUGUGUUGUGCUGCUUGCAUCAUACCGUGUUUUAAGAAGUCUGUUACAGAUGUGAAGGCUUCAGGCAUGAUGCCUUUGCUUGAUGCUCCAGUUGGAGAUGCUGAUACUGAAUCAAGCUUUCAGGGGAGGAUGAGACUGACUGAGGAUGACCCAUGGUAUGCUGUGGGUGAGGUAGUAGAAUAAAUAUUACGUUUUUGUUUUAUGAUAAGUUCUUUCCAGUAUGUUUGUUCUCCCUGUUGUGAAGGUUUGGAGUCCCUGGGUGGCAUGAAGCCCAACUGGUACAGGAUAGGAGUAGCUGAGAGGACCAGAUGGUUUAUAAUGCUUUGCUCUGCUUUACUGUUUUCCAUGACCAAAGUUGUAUCCUAUAUCUUACAUAUCAACAAAGUGUUAUCCUGUUUUUGACCCUUAUGGGUGUCAAAAGGGGGAGACAAAAGCAUAUAUCACUUGAUUUUUGUUCCAUUUCUUUUGUUUCUGUAAAAAAUAUGUUUUAUUUAACUUUGUAUUAUUUUCAUGAAAUGCUGUUAACAUAUUACUGUUGGGAGCACUGAAAUAUAGGAUAAUGAGUGACACCCUUGUGGGUGUCAAAAGGGGGAAUCAAAAACUCCAGUUUCUAUAUAAAUGUUAAGGGACAUGCAUCACUUCAUUGAUUCAAAAUAAAGGUUUAAAGUUCCUGGGUUCAUCAGCAACCUAGUAUAUCGGAUGGUGUGGUUAAACCCCACAGGGGUGUAAAAAGGGAGAUUAUGAGGAUUGUGUUAUGCACUAUAGCCCGUUACCAUAUGUGAUUGAAUAUUAUCUGCUGUGACAGGCCGGCUCGGAAGCAGGAACUACCGAGUAUAUUUUAAUAUUUUUCUCAGGAACAAGUCAGUUCUGUUUUGCCCUGUGGUGGGACAGAGAGCCCGUAUAUACAAACAAUGCAUUUACCACUUAUUGCUUAGCCUCAUUGUCAUAUUUAUCCUGAUACCAGAUUCGAAUUGACGCAACCCUGACACGAGUGAAAAAAUAGAGGGAAAAACCAAAAAUAAACGGUAAUUAAAAAGUAAAACCCGUAAAGUUGUCAUGUAGCAAAGUAGGCAAAACACACAGCAACAAGUCAGAAAGUUGUGACUGAAAAUGGCUUCAGAAAUAAAGGUGAAAAUGCUGUUUGAGGUAUCAUGUGAUGCUACUAGCAUAAAUGGACCAACACUGAGCAAAUGUAGCUUAAGUCAAAUGGCAAUUUGAAACACAGGGGUCAGAGUAAUAUUGCUGGCGCAUUGAUAUAAUGCUAAAUAAAUGUUGCCAUCACCCCAGUUACUCAAGUCAGGUCAUAGACCUCAACUCCAAGUAGGAACCACCAAAACAAUACAGAGGACACAAGUAUUACAGUUAAUGUUUAAUUGAGCCAAAACAAGCAAAUGCAGUUACAGACUGGACUAGAGUACCCAUGAACUCUUGCAUGUCCCACGUCAGAUAUCCAUGUCGUCGCCGGACGGGCCGGUCGCAGCUUCAGAGGUGGCGUCGUCAGAGGACGGGCCGGUCGCAGCUUCAGAGGUGGCGUCGUCAGAGGACGGGCCGGUCGCAGCU